This 340-nucleotide ribosomal RNA is filed under the name Chaetomium sp. NYSDOH 1244-00. Its description in RNAcentral is "partial contains 5.8S ribosomal RNA, internal transcribed spacer 2 and large subunit ribosomal RNA". The stretch from base 1 to 125 matches the Rfam family "5.8S ribosomal RNA", at positions 30 to 154 of the family's 154-position model. Lineage: Eukaryota; Fungi; Ascomycota; Sordariomycetes; Sordariales; Chaetomiaceae. The record is from RNAcentral.
GCAUCGAUGAAGAACGCAGCGAAAUGCGAUAAGUAAUGUGAAUUGCAGAAUUCAGUGAAUCAUCGAAUCUUUGAACGCACAUUGCGCCCGCCAGUAUUCUGGCGGGCAUGCCUGUUCGAGCGUCAUUUCAACCAUCAAGCCCCGGGCUUGUGUUGGGGACCUGCGGCUGCCGCAGGCCCUGAAAAGCAGUGGCGGGCUCGCUGUCACACCGAGCGUAGUAGCAUACAUCUCGCUCUGGGCGUGCUGCGGGUUCCGGCCGUUAAACCACCUUUUAACCCAAGGUUGACCUCGGAUCAGGUAGGAAGACCCGCUGAACUUAAGCAUAUCAAUAAGCGGAGGA